RNAcentral lists this non-coding RNA (29 nucleotides) under Mus musculus (house mouse). The record is from RNAcentral. Lineage: Eukaryota; Metazoa; Chordata; Mammalia; Rodentia; Muridae.
UAGGAUGUUUUCACCAAAUCAUAGACGUA